GACGAGGUGGUCGAGUGGUUAAGGCGAUGGACUGCUAACUUAUUGUGCUCUGCACGCGUGGGUUCAAAUCCCAUCCUUGACG
Non-coding RNA from Danio rerio (zebrafish), 82 nucleotides. The record is from Rfam. Lineage: Eukaryota; Metazoa; Chordata; Actinopteri; Cypriniformes; Danionidae.